GCUGAACACAACGCGGCUCAUCGUCUUCAUCUAGAUUUGGAGUUUAUCGGAGAUAGUAAAGGAGAAGAUUGAUUGGGUGCGUAUGAAGCAAUUGCAUAAAAAGCAGCAUGCAUAGUUCACAAAGAAUUUGUUACAAACUAGCUGGUCUUCUAUAAUACAUCAUUAGAAAUCUAUUUUAUGAUACACAUGCGAGUGGUGUGCUUUCGGCCUUAAGUUGUGUUCAUAUUAAUAUUUGAGUUGGGACGGAUAUGUUAGUUUACGCAUUCAAAUGGUUUUAUAUACGCUGAGAAAGCAAAUCUCUUUAGGGUCAUGUAUAUUUACAAAUAUUUAUGAGAACUCUGAUACAUUGUGGAAGUUAUUUACAUUUACUGGGAGGAUUAGUAUUUCUAGGAUAAAUUUCAAAUGAUAUAUUCAAUAAUUUUCCGUGAAGGCAAAGAAUAUGUGUAUAUCGAUUUUUGGAUUAGAUACAUUUGACCGGUGUUUGCAUAUUUCGUAUAUAUGUAUGACGACAUAUAUGUUCGUAAGUUGGGAUUGUUAUUAGGAGAACCAUUUAAGUAGAUGAUGGGUCAAAUAUAAUAUCGUAUUUUGGUGUGAUAUUUGUGCUUGUCCGUUCAUAACGAAUUGAAUCGAGUGAACCCUUAGUACCUGUGGUCAUAAUCUCAUUUGUAACAUAUUUAAAUAUCCUGUAUUUAUAUUUACAUUGUUUAUUCUGCCGCGAGUCUUGGUUGUAGGGAACUAGAGUAUAGCAGAAAUGAGACUAGUUUAAUAUUAGGAUCAAUUUACGCGUAUAAAUCGUUCGUGGGCAAAUAUAGAUUUUAGCCUCUCGACGAGAUUUAUUUUAUUUAUGAAAAGAGGAAGAGGAUUUUACAUCAAUAUGAUAAUUGACAUAGGCUGUAAAACUCGAAGUACCAUACCAUCGCUUACCUAAAGUGAACAAAUUCCCCAAAUUUUCUCACAUUAAAUAUAAGUUGAGGCAAAAAUAUUUAUUUUUGAGUAUAAAACAAAUUUCAUAAUACAUUUUUCAAAACUAUAAAAAAUAUUAAUAAUUUUAAG
This 1053-nucleotide long non-coding RNA is filed under the name Hermetia illucens (black soldier fly). RNAcentral's name for it is "uncharacterized LOC119647119, transcript variant X1". The record is from RNAcentral. Lineage: Eukaryota; Metazoa; Arthropoda; Insecta; Diptera; Stratiomyidae.